RNAcentral lists this long non-coding RNA (592 nucleotides) under Danio rerio (zebrafish). RNAcentral's name for it is "lncRNA (ENSDARG00000117395.1)". Lineage: Eukaryota; Metazoa; Chordata; Actinopteri; Cypriniformes; Danionidae. The record is from RNAcentral.
UGAUUGGCGGUCCUACCGUCACUCACAUUGUUAAUCACAAACAGCAAGGCUAGACGCUGAAAACUUUAGCUACGUACGAGUGUUUUACAUAGAAAAUGUUUUUAAAACACGGAUAACACAUUCUAUACGAGCUGACUGGACACGAUGAUAUACAAUACACCGAACAACACUUUUCAUCGACAGACAGUAAGACAGGUGUCUCUAGCUGUAUGUAGGGACACUUCAUAUGCUGUCGUUCCUCUCCAGAUGUCUGCAUAGUGCUUGAAAGAGGAGAAGAGCUGAAAGGGGCUGCAAUGUUAUCUCUCUCAGACACACGCAAUUUGGCCGGCAGUUUCUCCAGCCACCUUCUGAUUCAAUCAAUAAGCAACAGGUGCCGUGUGCCUCUCCCCCGGGUGCUGCCAGCUUCUGCGGGGCUUUUAAGAUCCCACACCAUAAUUAAGACUGUAUCCAGUGAAUCAGUCGGCCCAGCGCUCUACAGCUGACACACACACACACGCAUCCAAACAGCAUCAGAACAAACGUACAGACAUCACUUAGCAUAAGUGCUACUCAGUUGGAGCCCAGCACUCCAGCUUACUCUAAACUGGUUUUC